GAUGAACGCUAGCGGCAGGCUUAACACAUGCAAGUCGAGGGGCAGCACGUCUUCGGAUGGUGGCGACCGGCGCACGGGUGCGUAACGCGUAUACAACCUACCUUAUAGGGGGGAAUAGCCCAGAGAAAUUUGGAUUAAUGCCCCAUAGUAUUAUUGAAUAGCAUUAUUUGAUGAUUAAACAUUUAUGGCUAUAAGAUGGGUAUGCGUUCUAUUAGCUAGAUGGUAAGGUAACGGCUUACCAUGGCGACGAUAGAUAGGGGUCCUGAGAGGGAGAUCCCCCACACUGGUACUGAGACACGGACCAGACUCCUACGGGAGGCAGCAGUGAGGAAUAUUGGACAAUGGGCGAGAGCCUGAUCCAGCCAUGCUGCGUGCAGGAAGACGGCCCUAUGGGUUGUAAACUGCUUUUAUACGGGAAGAAACACUCCUUCGUGAAGGAGCUUGACGGUACCGUAAGAAUAAGGAUCGGCUAACUCCGUGCCAGCAGCCGAC
This 492-nucleotide ribosomal RNA is filed under the name uncultured bacterium. RNAcentral's name for it is "bacterial SSU rRNA". It matches the Rfam family "Bacterial small subunit ribosomal RNA", at positions 28 to 518 of the family's 1533-position model. The record is from RNAcentral.